This 254-nucleotide ribosomal RNA is filed under the name uncultured bacterium. RNAcentral's name for it is "partial 16S ribosomal RNA". It matches the Rfam family "Bacterial small subunit ribosomal RNA", at positions 524 to 776 of the family's 1533-position model. The record is from RNAcentral.
GACAUAGGUGGCGAACGUUAUCCGGAAUUAUUGGGCGUAAAGGAUGCGUAGAUGGCAGAGUAAGUUACUGGUUGAUGUCAAACUCAAUUUGACGAAAGCUGGUAAUACUGUUUUGCUAGAGGACAGGAGAAGUUGAUGGAAUUCUGUGUGGAGCGGUGAAAUGCGUUGAUCUACAGAGGAACACCAAAAAAGGCGAAGGCAGUUAACUAUCCUGUUCCUGACAUUGAGGCAUGAAAGCGUGGGGAGCAAACCGG